GUCCACACCCUAAACGAUGAGCACUAGGUGUGGGUGGGAAUGCCAUCCGUGCCGUAGCCAACGCGUUAAGUGCUCCGCCUGGGGACUAUGAGCGCAAGCUUAAAACUCAAAGGAAUUGACGGGGGCCCGCACAAGCAGCGGAGCGUGCGGUUCAAUUCGAUGCGACACGAAGAACCUUACCAGGGUUUGACAUGGGCGUGGUAGCGAACCGAAAGGGGAGCGACCCGCAAGGGAGCGCCGACAGGUGAUGCAUGGCUGUCGU
RNAcentral lists this ribosomal RNA (262 nucleotides) under uncultured bacterium. Its description in RNAcentral is "partial 16S ribosomal RNA". It matches the Rfam family "Bacterial small subunit ribosomal RNA", at positions 793 to 1055 of the family's 1533-position model. The record is from RNAcentral.